This 73-nucleotide transfer RNA is filed under the name Nanobdellota archaeon. RNAcentral describes it as "tRNA-Gln". It matches the Rfam family "tRNA". Rfam says of the family: Transfer RNA (tRNA) molecules are approximately 80 nucleotides in length. Their secondary structure includes four short double-helical elements and three loops (D, anti-codon, and T loops). Further hydrogen bonds mediate the characteristic L-shaped molecular structure. tRNAs have two regions of fundamental functional importance: the anti-codon, which is responsible for specific mRNA codon recognition, and the 3' end, to which the tRNAs corresponding amino acid is attached (by aminoacyl-tRNA synthetases). tRNAs cope with the degeneracy of the genetic code in two manners: having more than one tRNA (with a specific anti-codon) for a particular amino acid; and 'wobble' base-pairing, i.e. permitting non-standard base-pairing at the 3rd anti-codon position. Lineage: Archaea; Nanobdellati; Nanobdellota. The record is from RNAcentral. RNAcentral also lists the same sequence under 1 other name.
AGCCCCAUAGUACAGCGGUCAAGUAUACGAGGUUCUGAACCUCGUGACCUCGGUUCGAAUCCGAGUGGGGCUA